AACACAUCGCUGCCUUUUGGCUAAGAGUUUAAUAUCUAAUAUGUCCCAAUUUUACACUCUAUGAUAUUUCCUAUAUAAGGGGACAGCAUAUGAAAUAGAUUUUUAGCAUCAGGAGUUAAAAAAGGGGCUUGCUCCCUUCACUCCACGCCUCGAUCCGGUUUAGUGUUUUUAAUGGUGCUGCCAGGGAACAGUGCACCCUUC
This is a small nuclear RNA of Sander lucioperca (pikeperch), 201 nucleotides long. Its record names the gene U2. It matches the Rfam family "U2 spliceosomal RNA". Rfam says of the family: U2 is a small nuclear RNA (snRNA) component of the spliceosome (involved in pre-mRNA splicing). Lineage: Eukaryota; Metazoa; Chordata; Actinopteri; Perciformes; Percidae. The record is from Ensembl.